RNAcentral lists this long non-coding RNA (883 nucleotides) under Bemisia tabaci. RNAcentral describes it as "lncRNA ENSSSA3NGG014831". The record is from RNAcentral. Lineage: Eukaryota; Metazoa; Arthropoda; Insecta; Hemiptera; Aleyrodidae.
GUCAUCAAAGUAAUUCUAGUAAUUAGGUUGAAGACUUUAUUUUAUACACUACUGAUAACCACGCUUUUUUCAGGCAGGAGAGGCCCUGGCCGAGCUGAAGAGACGGUGAAGCUGGAGAUGGAGUCCUCGAGCUCCUACCUGGAGUUGUUCCGGACACCGAGCAAUAUCCGGGCCUCCAUCAUCGUUAUCACCCUCUCCUUCUUCCAAGGGGCCAGCGGGAUCGUCGCCGUACUCACAUAUGGCUCUACCACCCUACCCAGGUACGAUGGGUUCUGGAAGCCGUAUCCAACGAUGGCCCUGGUUAGCGCCCUAACCUGGUCUUCAACCUCGUCUCUAUCGCGCUUAUCGAUAAGCUCGGUCGGCGGCCCUUGAGUAUCAUCUCCAACGCUGGCGACGCUCUUGGGACCGGGAUCGUGGCUUUCUACUUCUUCCUCGACCAGAACACCGAGUGGGACACCACCAACAUCAAAUGGCUCCCCUACAUCGGCAUGAUCCUCUACAUUUCCUCCUAUGGAGGUGCCAUGGCCGUCAUACCGCACAUUCUUGUUGGGGAGCUCUUCCCGGCCAAUGUCAGAUACCAUGCCUCCGUCGUCUCGGUGAUUUGCAUCGCCGGGAGUUGUGCGCUGUUCAACUACAUCUACUUGGGCGUGAGCCGUGCGGUCGGUGUGGCGGCCAUGUUCGCCAUUUUCACCGUUUGCAGUUUCGCCGCCGCCAUCUUCUCCUGGCUUUACGUAUUCGAGACGAAGAACAUGUCUCUCUCGGAGAUCCAAGCCAUCAUGACAGGGCGACAACGAACGGGCAGCAGGCCAUCGCACGAGUUGAACAAUCUAUCUUAACUUAUUUUAGGGGCUUAGAGGACAAAGCGCGUAAGUGCAGUUUUUGA